AUUUUUGACUGUGGAGAAAAUCAGACUAAAAUAUUUAUUCGGUAUCCAUCCAUCCAUCUAUUCCACAAAUAGUUAUUAUCUACGUGGGACUCUGCUAGGUGCUAUGGGGAGGCUUUUGAAAAGCAAUUAUGUACAAUUACAAAUUAUACUCAUGUGACACAGUCAAAUGGAUGUGUACAAUGCUUCUGGAGAUUAACACAGAAAUGACCUAAACUGUGAGAGUACAGCCCCAGACUGGGUUUAAUUAAAUAUGUGUUCCUAAGUUGAUGAUGAUAACCCUCACAGCACACGCUCAUGGCAUUCCAUCAGUGUACUGUGGCCACAUCACUUCCAAGUGUUGGAUGUGAAAUAAACUGUCUCUUUUGUUUCUAAAAUAUUAUGUCUCAGAGGUAAUUCUUUUAAAAUCUUUUAUACAUGUAAAAAAUGGUAUAUGAUUUAUUAUAUUAUAUUGUUCAUAUUAUAUAAAAUCACAUUUAAUUUAUAUGUAUGUUUAUGUGAUUGGUAGGUAGAAAGAAAGAAAAGAAAGAGAGGGAGGGAGGGAAGGGGGUAGAAAGGAAGGGAAGAGAACCUGUGCUUUUCCAGAUUCUUCCAUUCCCCCUUCUUCUAUAAAGUGAAUGAAGUUUUCCUCAAAUUAAGGCACAAAUGUCACAUUACUUUUUAUUUAAAGCAGUCUAAUUUCAGCGCCUCUCUAGGAAAGGUGGAUGAAAAGUUUGAUCAAUUGCAUAGAUGUCCAGAAAAGAGGACUUUCCAUGGCCAUCCAUCAUCCUAUGACUUUUCCUUCCAAGACCCUGGAGCUAGUCAGGAGUGUUCCUCUUUUGUGGGUCUCACACCAUGGUCACUUGCCCAUGUGCUUGCCCAGGCCACAACUGGAUGGUGGGGGACAAGGUCCAUGGGAAUCAAGGGGACCCUUGCCCCUAACACCAAAUUUUUGUUUUUGUUUUUUUGCAGGGAAAGCGUCUCCCUGAGUUAACAUCUGCUGCCAAUCUUCCUCUUUUUCUUUUUCGCUCUCCAAAGCUCCAGUACAUAGUUAUAUAUCCUAGUUGUGGGUUGUCCUAGUUCUUCUAUGUGAGCUGCUGCCACAGCAGGGCUACUGACAGAUAGGUGGUGUGAUUCUGUGACCAGGAAGCGAACCUGGGCGGCCGAAGUGGUGAGCACCAAACUUUUUAACCACUAGGCCAUCAGGGAUGGCUCUUAAUGCCAGGUUUUUUAAUACAGAUCACCCAACCUGAGAGUCUGCCAAAUUUGAGAGAAAGGGAGUUGUAACUCUCUCUUUCUCCUGUCCCCACCAUCCAACUGCCUUCUUGAGGUGAGUCCCCUCCCCUUUAAGUUCUCAGGAACUCUCAUCAUUUUAGACAAGACAGAUUAAACACCUCAACAGGUUAAAACUUGAAAAAAUAAUGUUUUCCCUAAAUUAAGAGAAGUCCAGACUGAAGAAUUCAAAGGCUUGUGUCUCACCUUGAGAAGAAUAUACCUAAUUUUAACAUAUCUCACUUGUUUUUCUAUAUCACAGAUAAUUAUUUAUAUUUAGAGAUAUUAUCAAUAUCUACUUAUCUGCAUCUAUAUAUACAUGUGUAUAUCUAUUAUCUGUAUCUCUAUUUAUAUAUAUCUACAUCUCUAUUAUCUAUCUCUAUGUCUACCUAUAUCACAGAUUGUUUCUAAAUGGACCAUUUGCCAUGUUGUGUUGUCAGUAAAUCAUCUCAAUACAUUUAUUGUUUUCUAUUAGCCACACCAUUCCCUUGGAAAUAUUCCAAAAUCAAAAGAAACGUAAGGUGAAAAGUAUCUCAGAGCUGACUUAUUUGGUAUUUCCUAAAAUUUAAAUAUUUCAGCACCACAUUCACAAUUUUUAUUAUAUUCACAUACCAUGGUCUAUUUUCUUAAUGUAUUUCUCUAAAUCAACUCAUUUAUUUUACCAAAAUACAUUAUUUUAAAAGUAAAUCUAAUUAGCUUAAAUGAAGGGAAACUUGUAAAAAUAAUUGCCUGAAGAUAAAUAAAAUGAAAACAAAACAUUAUUCCAUCCUAGCUGCUGCAGUAGGCAAAGACUCUGAGCUUAAGACUUCUCCUUGCCCCAUUUCUUUGUGACAAAAAAGAGAGUUAGAAAGAAAAUUACUUUCUCAUCACGUGAUUUAAUCUUAUUUAAUUCUGAGUCUGUAUGUUACCUAAAAGAUUUGUGUCUCAUACUUUGAGAAACACUGUUGGGGUUUAUUCCCUUCAGUUUGUUCAAAAAUUGAGACCCCUGGGGCUGUUCACAUGCUUCACUCCAGUAGCCCGGGAUUCACAGGUUUGGAUCCCAGGUGUGGACAUAGCACUCCUUGUCAAGCCAUGCUGUGGUGACAUCCCACAAAAAAUACAGGAAGAUUGGCACAGAUGUUAGCUCAGUGACAAUCUUCCUCACAAAAAAGAAAAAAAAAUGAAGCCCAGAGAAAAUGGGUUUAUAACUUACUCCCGACAAAGCUGAGAUUAGUCUUUGGGUUUCUUGACCUCAAGCUCCGUGCACUUACCCACAUCAUCCACCUCCUCUGUCUUUGAGUUGUAAUAGGACCUUUCAUUUAUCUGGGCCUGGCCACUCGAACUGGCUCGAAGGUUCAGUGAGGUCAGGAGUCAUGAC
Equus caballus (horse) is the source of this 2605-nucleotide long non-coding RNA. The record is from Ensembl. Lineage: Eukaryota; Metazoa; Chordata; Mammalia; Perissodactyla; Equidae.